GCUAGAUUAAACUUCGUCUGGUGCUACCUGCUCAGUGCCCCCUAAGUCAAAGCGUAAAAUGCUUGGAAGGGGGGUAAAUAGCCGCGGAAAGCCUAAACCGUGAUAAUUAUAAGCAUAAUCUGAUAUCGUUUAAUUGGCGGGGAGUUGAAUGGUGCCACGAGGGCAGCCUUGUCUCAGACAGAGAGCCUAUGAAGCUGAAGUAGAAGUUAAGAUGCUUCUUAAAAAUGAAAGACGAGAAGACCCUAUUGAGCUUUACUAUACUCAUUUUUCAGUAGUCAGAAGGAGAUUGAAGUAACGAGUUAGAACCUUUGCUGGGCAUCGUAAUAAUCUUCAGGAUACACUGUUUAGAAUGGGGGGUAGUUUAGGUGGGGCGCCUGCGCGUUAUUAUAAACAUGCUGCUAUCAAUAUGGACCUAACAACCCAUUUACUGUGUAAGAUAUUUCUUUAACAGUUAUUAGCGUAGGAUAAAAGACCCGAUGGAGUGCGAAUGAGUGCUACAUCAUCACAAGAUAAAAGUUACCAUAGGGAUAACAGAGUUAAGCCUGGCUAGCAGUACAGAUGUUUGCCUAGGUUUGCCA
Molecule: ribosomal RNA, 578 nt
Filed under: Crystallophyes amygdalina
Lineage: Eukaryota; Metazoa; Cnidaria; Hydrozoa; Siphonophorae; Clausophyidae
Description: partial 16S ribosomal RNA
Rfam family: Bacterial large subunit ribosomal RNA
Source: RNAcentral